UCCGUAGGUGAACCUGCGGAAGGAUCAUUGCUGUGGAACAAUAUUUCAUGGGUUUGGUCGUUAGGCCAAAUCCAUGGGCUAUGUUUAUGCGUGUUUUGUGUGGCAGAUUAAUACAGAGAAACAGAGACAACUUUUAACAAUGGAUCUCUUGGCUCUUGCAACGAUGAAGAACGCAGUCAAGUGCGAAAUUAAAUGCGAUUUGCAUGAAUCUGUGAGUCAUCAUGUCUUUGAACGCAACUUGCGCCAUGUUAAGUGGCAUGUCCAUCUGAGCGCCGUAUAAUUAUUUGGGUGGUAAUUGGUGAGGAGGGUAUUGUGUGUGUUGGUAUGGCGUAUGGUCAUGCUAUGCAUAUACGGUAUCACUUACCCAUGUACCCUGUGUUGCUGGGCAUGAAGCCUGGUUGAACAAUGUCCUGUUUAUAGGAAUGUGUUAGAGGCAGUGAUUUGGUGGGGACUCAAUCGUCAAGAUUGUGGACUAUCGAUCGUCAAGUCUUCUCAUUCCGUGAACAACGUAGAGGGGGAAAGGAUGCUAAACACAUCUAACCCCCCCUUACGCACACACACUUGGCCUCAGAUUGGGGCAGGGAUUACCCGGGCUGGAACUUAAGGCCAUAUCAAUAAGGCGGGAGGGAAGGUCGGACUGGCCAAGGGGCACACAGGGGGGGGA
This 664-nucleotide ribosomal RNA is filed under the name uncultured fungus. RNAcentral describes it as "eukaryotic LSU rRNA". The stretch from base 129 to 275 matches the Rfam family "5.8S ribosomal RNA". Lineage: Eukaryota; Fungi. The record is from RNAcentral.